CAUAUUUCUGUCAAUAGACAAGGUUCUGCAAAGCUUUUAUUACAUCAUGUUGGAAAAUGAAAGAUUGUGACCUCAAACCCCCAUGAUCCAAGUGAAAAUGAAAUGAGUGUAUACACAUAGGCACAAUUCAGGACACAGAACGUUUGGUACACAAAGAAUGAUGAGACGGGUUCCUACCCAGCACAAUUCCAAUUCAGUAGUUUCUCUCGCACGUACCAGCUCAGCUGCCCACGAUCCGUGCUGCUUUUAAAUACUACAAAGCAAUUUACACUCCAACUGCCGCCCGCUUAAGUUCUUCCUUUUGCGCUCAGAAAUGGAAAUACUUGGACAGUGAGUGAUGCCCUGUUGCAGCUGCCUCCCCGAGUCCUUCAGCAACCCAUCUCUGAGCCUCGCUGGGUUAAGCCCCGCUGCUCCAAGCUCAUUCUCCCCACCAGCAGGCAACCGGUCGGCCGCUGGGCGGAGAGAACGGGCGCUAGGGCGCCAUCUGGAGGCGCCUCGAGGCAGCUGCAGCAAACUUAGAACAACCCUUGUUCAUCUCUUGAAGAUUAGUUCUACAUUUCUACCCAACAGAUGCUUUUGAAAAAACAUAGUUACCAAUGGCUUUGGAACUUCUACAAACAUGUACUUCUACAAACAUGAACUUCUACAAAUAAAAACCUUUCAA
Molecule: long non-coding RNA, 664 nt
Filed under: Mustela putorius furo (domestic ferret)
Lineage: Eukaryota; Metazoa; Chordata; Mammalia; Carnivora; Mustelidae
Description: lncRNA (ENSMPUG00000025557.1)
Source: RNAcentral